AGAGUUUGAUCCUGGCUCAGGAUGAACGCUGGCGGUAUGCCUAACACAUGCAAGUCGUACGAGAGUUUUUAACUCUAGUGGCGGACGGGUGAGUAACACGUGAGAAUUUACCUUUAGGAGGGGGAUAACAAUUGGAAACGAAUGCUAAUACCCCAUAUGCUUUUGAGUGAAAUGGAUUUAUAAUUAUCUGCCUAAAGAAAAGCUCGCGGCUGAUUAGCUUGUUGGUAAGGUAAGAGCUUACCAAGGCGACGAUCAGUAUCUGGUUUGAGAGGACGAUCAGACACACUGGAACUGAGACACGGUCCAGACUCCUACGGGAGGCAGCAGUGGGGAAUUUUCCGCAAUGGGCGAAAGCCUGACGGAGCAAUACCGCGUGAGGGAAGACUGCCUAUGGGUUGUAAACCCCUUUUUUCAGGGGGGAAUAAAAUGACGUGUACCUGAAGAAUAAGCAUCGGCUAACUCCGUGCCAGCAGCCGCGGUAAG
RNAcentral lists this ribosomal RNA (483 nucleotides) under uncultured bacterium. Its description in RNAcentral is "bacterial SSU rRNA". It matches the Rfam family "Bacterial small subunit ribosomal RNA", at positions 8 to 524 of the family's 1533-position model. The record is from RNAcentral.